RNAcentral lists this ribosomal RNA (389 nucleotides) under uncultured Didiniidae. Its description in RNAcentral is "partial small subunit ribosomal RNA". It matches the Rfam family "Eukaryotic small subunit ribosomal RNA", at positions 30 to 432 of the family's 1831-position model. Lineage: Eukaryota; Ciliophora; Litostomatea; Haptorida; Didiniidae. The record is from RNAcentral.
GCUUGUCUCAAAGAUUAAGCCAUGCAUGUCUCAGCAUAAGCUUCAACACGGUGAAACUGCAAAUGGCUCAUUAAAGCAGUUACAAUUUAUUUGAUGGUCACUGUUACAUGGAUAACUGUGGUAAUUCUAGAGCUAAUACAUGCUGUAAGCCUGACUUUAUGGGAAGGUUGUAUUUAUUAGAUCCCAAACCGAUAGCUUCGGCUAUUGUGACGAAUCAUAAUAACUUGUCGGAUCGGGUAUUACUCGAUGGAUCAUUCAAGUUUCUGCCCUAUCAGCUUUCGAUGGUAGUGUAUUGGACUACCAUGGCGAUAACGGGUAACGGGGAAUUAGGGUUCGAUUCCGGAGAGGGAGCCUGAGAAACGGCUACCACUUCUAAGGAAGGCAGCAGG